CUGGUAUUGCUGUGGAGAUGUGUUCACAGGAAACCUGAAAACAGUGAUCCAGCUGUGAUCUACUCAGCAGUCAGAACAGGAGACGUCAGUUAUGGAGAAAUCAUCAUCAAAGGGAAGAAAACACGAAGAGACUUUAAACCAGAGCCAGACGUCGUCUACUCUUCACUGAAGUAGUCCACCAGUCCAACCACUGACGUCCAGCUGCUGCUCUCUAACUGGUCCCCCCAGCACCUCAGACUAGAGAACA
Oreochromis niloticus (Nile tilapia) is the source of this 247-nucleotide long non-coding RNA. RefSeq lists it as uncharacterized. NCBI's taxonomy places the organism in Eukaryota, Metazoa, Chordata, Actinopteri, Cichliformes, Cichlidae. The transcript is spliced from 3 exons. The record is from RefSeq and is a predicted model, not a curated record.